Molecule: long non-coding RNA, 2718 nt
Organism: Equus caballus (horse)
Lineage: Eukaryota; Metazoa; Chordata; Mammalia; Perissodactyla; Equidae
Source: Ensembl
GGUCAGUCUCCUGCCGUUAGGAUGUUAGCUGUAUGAAGCCUUUUGGCAGGCUGAGUAGUUUCCCUUCUAUUUGUAGUUUGCUGAGGUUUUUGUUGGUUUUUAAUCACAAUGGACAUUGAAUUUUGUUGAACGGUUUUUCUACGUCAGUUGAUAUGGUCAUAGGGUCUUUCUUAUUCAGCCUGUGGAUGUGGUGGAUUAUGCUGAUUGCUUUCUGAAUAUCACACCAACCUUCCGUUCCCGAAUAAUCCUGCUGGGUCAGAACCUGAAGACGGAGCCUGUCACCAGUGGCUCUCCUCCCAAGACUGCGUGGUGCUCAGCAGCACGACAGUGUCACCCGAGAAGCACUGAGGGGCCGACAUCUGAGCCAGCUCAGGAUUAGGGUUCAGGGGCCAGGAACCUGCAUCUGGACACUGGCCUCCACCCCCCACCCCAGGGCUCCUACUUGGAGAAACGGUGAAUUCCCUCACCACAGCCCUCAAGAGGGAGCAGGGGACCCUCAUGGCAAAGCCUGCGCACCCCCCGUGAGCAGUGCCCAGGGGGCUGGAGGGGAGAAGACCCCCACCAUACCCUGGAGCCCACCCCCGGUCAAAGAACCCUUGUUCAGCCUUGCAGUGUCCGGGCCGGUAUAGAAGGGAGCAAAUCCCUUUUUGCAAAGAGUACUCAACACACCAUGAGCUUGUCUGUUUACCAAAAUGCAGAGGGAAAGGCCCCAUUUGUGGACAAAGUUGAGACUUGAGCAAAUUUGGAAGACAGGAUAUUUCCUAGAGUGCAGAAAACAGCCCCUCCUUGUUGACAGCGGGUGUCAGCGCUUAAUCGGCACAAACUGUGUUUGAAACAGCAAGCAGAGAAAUCCCAAGAGUCCAAAUCAGGUAGUACUCACCAAACAUCACACACAUCGACCGAGCCGGAGUCUCCCCGGGGAGCGUCGUGACGGAGACUGCCACACCUCAGCCUCUGUGCCUGUCCAGCCAGACGGGCAGCGGUGAGGGGCUGGGGGAGACGCAGCCAGGGGGCCUCAGGCAGACCCGGAGCCAGGCUCUUGCAGCAACGGCGCGUCUGACAACAAGGAUUCAGCCGCCUCGGGGACAACUCCCUGCGACAGAGCAGUCUGGUGCCCGCUGAAAGAUGUCCAGCCGAGAGGCUUUCUAUCCCACCUCCUGUGGCCUGAGGCUGGAGGAGGCUGUGAAAACCCCGGAGAAACCAGGAGGAGGAACCAGGCAGAUUUUUGGGGUGGGAGGGGAUCCGCAACAUUUCCACCACCUCCGUCUGGACUGAAAACCAGCAGCCAGAGGACCUUUCAGUGCAGUCAGGUCUCACACCUCCUCCUAGAAAGGAGGGACUAAAGACCAGUCCCUCACACUCCCGGCCACACCCUGACUCCUCAUCCUGGACAGACAGGCUCCACACACACACCAGGCACACCACUGCCCCAGGGCCUUUGCACAGGCAUCUCCCUCCUCCCAGACAUCCCCAUGGCUCCUCCUUUGCCUCCCGCUCAGGCUUUGAUCAAAUGUCCCCUUCAUCUGGCACUCCACUCCCUGACCAGGCUCUGUCAUUCUGUUUUCCAAGGUAUCCGGCACCUUCUAACUGCAGCGUAAUUCACUGUCUUGUCUGUCAUUGGAAAGCAAGUGCCCGCAGGGCUGGGAUCUGUUUGUUCACCUAGAACAGCGCCUGGCUCACAGCCGGCGCUCAGGAGUGCCUGUUAGAUGAUGAGUGGGACCCGUGAGGCGGCAGCCAGCACCACCCAAUGGCCAGGAUUACGAGGAGCAGCUGACGGGGGCUGGCGGCUCCCCACCCACUGUGUCCCACCCUGGCCCGCUGAUAGCAGAACUGACAUUUGUCACCCACUCUCCACCUCGGGCAGCGCUGCUCACUGUCCUGCCCUUCCUUUGCCACUCCCAGGGGGUCUGUGAAAGGUCAGGCAUGUGACGUCCACACCUCUGAUGGAGAAAAGACCUUUCAGACAAAGAGAGAUGUCAAAGCCAGCAUGCCACCCAGCCGUCGCCCAGAGAUGACCCGCUGCCCCACUGCCAAGGGAUAGGCCAGCCUCCGCUGGCUCUUCAAUGGGGCGGGGGCAGCCCUCACCUCCCUACCGGCCCCGGCCAGCAGCUCUGUCCUGGGUCCAGCCCGUUGCCGGGAGUUAAACACGGGGCUCUCCAGGAGAGACCGGCACAGAUUCCGGGUGUCAGUUCCCAAAAUGCCGCCAGAGGAAGUAGCAGGACAGAACGGAGGACGCCCUCCCCAAGACGCUGGCGUCCACCUUGCUUAUAAUUUUGAAAAGGUGGAACUGCCAACUGUCCUUUGAUGAGAGAGGGUCAAAGGAGUCAUGAUAGAGGUCUCCACAAGAGUCAAACACCGCCAGUAAAUUUGUGUGAAUUGAUGUGGAAAACAGCCCAAGAUACAUCAUGAGUGACAAGGGCAGGUGGUGGCGUGGUCCGUUGUGUGAUGGAGGCCCCAGGUGAACAGAGACACUGGGGGACCACGGCUGGGGGUCACCCCUCUCCUAUGACUCUCUCUGCUGCAGCAGCUGUGUGUGACGACACGGCAUUGGCGUGUGACCGGUGACCUGGAGAGCCCGUGCCUCGCAGGCUCUGUGGGGGACGCCCCAUUGUCAGCCACGUUGGUGCGAGCCCUGGGUCGGGGACAAGCAGAGUGUUCACAGGACACCUCCCUCUGGGGUGGGUGGGGCUCCUGGGUCCUGGGAGCCAGGCUCUUCCU